CCGGUGACGGUAAGNGAACCCCAGAAAAGCCAUCUCAGUUCGGAUUGCAGCCUGCAACUCGGCUGCAUGAAGCUGGAAUUGCUAGUAAUCGCAGAUCAGCAUGCUGCGGUGAAUACGUUCCCGGGCCUUGUACACACCGCCCGUCACACCAUGGGAGUCGGUAACACCCGAAGUCGGUAGCCUAACCGUAAGGAGGGCGCCGCCGAAGGUGGGAUUGAUGACUGGGGUGAAGUCGUAACAAGGUACC
RNAcentral lists this ribosomal RNA (247 nucleotides) under uncultured bacterium. RNAcentral describes it as "partial 16S ribosomal RNA". It matches the Rfam family "Bacterial small subunit ribosomal RNA", at positions 1254 to 1500 of the family's 1533-position model. The record is from RNAcentral.